RNAcentral lists this transfer RNA (49 nucleotides) under Lagenaria siceraria (white-flowered gourd). RNAcentral describes it as "partial tRNA-His". RNAcentral also lists the same sequence under 23 other names. Lineage: Eukaryota; Viridiplantae; Streptophyta; Magnoliopsida; Cucurbitales; Cucurbitaceae. The record is from RNAcentral.
GGCGGAUGUAGCCAAGUGGAUCAAGGCAGUGGAUUGUGAAUCCACCAUG